RNAcentral lists this transfer RNA (65 nucleotides) under Unio pictorum (painter's mussel). RNAcentral describes it as "tRNA-His". Lineage: Eukaryota; Metazoa; Mollusca; Bivalvia; Unionida; Unionidae. RNAcentral also lists the same sequence under 2 other names. The record is from RNAcentral.
UAAUGAGUAGUUUAAAAAAAACGAUAGGUUGUGGUUCUAUAAAUAGGUUGUAGCACUCUCAUUAG